GAUUAGGCAUGCAAGUCGAACGGUGAGGCCCCGCAAGGGGCCGAUCAGUGGCGAAAGGGUGAGUAACACGUGAGCAAUCUGCCCUCGAGAUCGGGAUAGCCCCGGGAAACUGGGAUUAAUACCGGAUGUGGUUACCGGUCGCAUGGCCGGUGUACUGAAGGCGCAAGCCGCUCGAGGAUGAGCUCGCGUCCGAUUAGCUAGUUGGCGGGGUCACGGCCCACCAAGGCUGAGAUCGGUAGGUGGUCCGAGAGGAUGGUCACCCACACUGGACUGAGACACUGCCCAGACUCCUACGGGAGGCUGCAGUCGAGAAUCUUCCGCAAUGGGCGAAAGCCUGACGGAGCGAUGCCGCGUGAGGGAUGAAGGCCUUCGGGUUGUAAACCUCUGUCGCCCGGGACGAAACCAAUGACGGUACCGGGAGAGGAAGCUACGGCUAACUACGUGCCAGCAGCCGCGGUAAUACGUAGGUAGCAAGCGUUAUUCGGAUUUACUGGGCGUAAAGGGUCCGCAGGGGGCCUGCCAAGUCUGAUGUGAAAUACCACGGCUCAACUGUGGAACGGCAUUGGAAACUGGCGGGCUAGAGUGCAUGAGGGGUGAGCAGAAUUCCUGGUGUAGCGGUGGAAUGCGUAGAUAUCAGGAGGAAUACCGAUGGCGAAGGCGGCUCACUGGCAUGCAACUGACCCUCAGGGACGAAAGCAUGGGUAGCAAACAGGAUUAGAUACCCUGGUAGUCCACGCUGUAAACGGUGUACACUAGAUGUGGGUGGUCCUUUUGGUCCCAUCCGUGUCCAAGCUAACGCGUUAAGUGUACCGCCUGGGGACUACGGCCGCAAGGUUAAAACUCAAAGGAAUUGACGGGGGCCCGCACAGGCGGUGGAGUAUGUGGCUUAAUUCGAGGCAACGCGAAGAACCUUACCUGGGCUUGACAUAUACCUGACGGGGUGUGAAAGCAUCCUUUCCUUCGGGACGGGUAUACAGGUGCUGCAUGGCUGUCGUCAGCUCGUGUCGUGAGAUGUUCGGUUAAGUCCGGCAACGAGCGCAACCCGUACUGUCAGUUGCGAACAGGUGAAGCUGAGCACUCUGGCGGGACUGCCCGUGUUAAGCGGGAGGAAGGCGCGGAUGACGUCAAGUCAGUAUGGCCCUUACGUCCAGGGCUGCACACGUACUACAAUGGGCGGUACAGUGGGAAGCAAUACCGCGAGGUGGAGCAAAUCCUCAAAACCGCCCCCAGUUCAGAUUGCAGUCUGCAACUCGACUGCAUGAAGCCGGAAUCGCUAGUAAAGGCGUAUCAGCAACGACGCCUUGAAUACGUUCCCGGGCCUUGUACACACCGCCGUCACAUCAUGGAAGCCGGUUGCACCCGACACUUCCGAUCCAACCCGCAAGGGAGGUAGGAAACUAAGGUGUGCCCGGUAACUGGGAUGAAGUCGUAACAAGGUA
Molecule: ribosomal RNA, 1439 nt
Filed under: metagenome
Description: bacterial SSU rRNA
Rfam family: Bacterial small subunit ribosomal RNA
Source: RNAcentral